UGGGGAAUAUUGCACAAUGGGCGCAAGCCUGAUGCAGCCAUGCCGCGUGUAUGAAGAAGGCCUUCGGGUUGUAAAGUACUUUCAGCGGGGAGGAAGGCGAUAAGGUUAAUAACCUUGUCGAUUGACGUUACCCGCAGAAGAAGCACCGGCUAACUCCGUGCCAGCAGCCGCGGUAAUACGGAGGGUGCAAGCAUUAAUCGGAAUUACUGGGCGUAAAGCGCACGCAGGCGGUCUGUCAAGUCGGAUGUGAAAUCCCCGGGCUCAACCUGGGAACUGCAUUCGAAACUGGCAGGCUAGAGUCUUGUAGAGGGGGGUAGAAUUCCAGGUGUAGCGGUGAAAUGCGUAGAGAUCUGGAGGAAUACCGGUGGCGAAGGCGGCCCCCUGGACAAAGACUGACGCUCAGGUGCGAAAGCGUGGGGAGCAAACA
This 427-nucleotide ribosomal RNA is filed under the name uncultured bacterium. Its description in RNAcentral is "partial 16S ribosomal RNA". It matches the Rfam family "Bacterial small subunit ribosomal RNA", at positions 355 to 774 of the family's 1533-position model. The record is from RNAcentral.